AAUUUUAUCAAAACUACUAAAAAUUCUAUUUUUAGCUAAACUAAACAGGGGCUAAAUAUCUUGCACAUAAUUUUAUGAUAGGACCAUGAAUUCAAAUACUAUGUGCUUCAAGUUUUCUUAGAGAAAGACUGAUCUUUCAUUCCCCUCCUUGCCAUUUUGUGCUCUAGUAUGAAGGCUGUCCAACUGAAAUAACUAUGUGUGUUUAGUUGCUCUAAAAUUAUUGGUCACAUAGUCAGCCCAUUAUUCUACACCCUCAUUGGAUAGCAAAAUAAAAGAAAAUGGUCUUAUAGAUUUGUCUUAUCAUUUGUUAUACAUAUGUAGAAUCUUAUAAGAAAAAAGGUGUUGACAUCAGGUCUGUAUCUGGGUAUACCUCUGGAUAGAUGACAACAGUGCUGUGGAAUUUCUUGGCAAGAUAUUUAUGGCAGUGGUAUCAUUUAUAGCUGCAUUAGGUUUCUUGCUGUAUGGCGGAAGGUUAUUUUUCAUGCUUAGACGCUUUCCCAUUGAGUCGAAAGGAAGGAGAAAGAAGCUUCACGAGGUGGGUGCCUUACUAAUUAUAUUUUAAU
Olea europaea var. sylvestris is the source of this 563-nucleotide long non-coding RNA. RefSeq lists it as uncharacterized. The record is from RefSeq and is a predicted model, not a curated record. The transcript has 3 exons. Lineage: Eukaryota; Viridiplantae; Streptophyta; Magnoliopsida; Lamiales; Oleaceae.